This 407-nucleotide ribosomal RNA is filed under the name uncultured bacterium. Its description in RNAcentral is "partial 16S ribosomal RNA". It matches the Rfam family "Bacterial small subunit ribosomal RNA", at positions 28 to 526 of the family's 1533-position model. The record is from RNAcentral.
GACGAACGCUGGCGGCGUGCCUAAUACAUGCAAGUAGAACGCAGUUGCGAACGGGUGAGUAACGCGUAGGUAACUGCCUCAUAGCGGGGGAUAACUAUUGGAAACGAUAGCUAAUACCGCAUACUGUGAGAUGGACCUGCGUUGUAUUAGGUAGUUGGUGAGGUAAAGGCUCACCAAGGCGACGAUACAUAGCCGGCCUGAGAGGGUGAACGGCCAACCUUGGACCUGAACCCGGCCCCGACCCCUUCGGGAAGGAGCCGGAGGGAAUCUUCGCCAAUGGACGGAAAGCUGACCGAUCAAAGCCGGCUGGGUGAAAAAGGUUUUCGGGUCUUAAAGCUCUGUUUUUAGGGGAGCGGUAACUAACCAGAAAGGGACGGCUAACUACGUGCCAGCAGCCGCGGUAAUUC